GAACCACCAGUGUCCCAAUGGAUACAAUGAAGAUGAGAGCGAUGAUUCAAUGGCUUCGGACGCCUCUUCUGGGCCAAGCCACCACAAGUUUCCACCGAGCAGUGAGCAGAAUUUGGGGAUGAACCAUUUCACGCAUGGAAGUAUUGUUAAGUCCAUCUCAACGGAGAAACUUCAGAAACAGGUGAUUAAAAGGGACCAAAGAAGAAACAGACAUGGGAAGGGAAAGUUAAAACUUAAGACAAUUAGUGCUCCUAGUCGUGUUCAAAGGGGAUACAUAAGCAAAGAUGAUGAAGCAGGAAGAAUUGGUGUGUCUCAAAUUUCCCAGUCAUGUUUAGAAAUGUGUGAUGAAUGUUGAAUGGGAUUGACUCUGAGAACUUCAUAGAUGUUUUAGGAUGAUAUAUAUAUAUGCGUGUUAGUUAAUUUUGGGUUUUUAAUGUGUUCUAUGUAACCUAUGAACUUUGAUUGUUGUUGUUUUUGCUGCUGUUGUCAUCAUCCUUUUAUGUCGGAAAUGAAUUUUUUUUUCGAUGGAAAAUUUCGUCAGUUUGUUGGGUGAAGAUUCAAAGAGCUGAAGAUGUUUUUUGUGACAUAGAUAAAUGCACAUGUAUGUGUAAAUGAAGGUCGCACCAGAAGAAAUGCAAAUAAUAUAUUAUAUAUUGUUAAGAUUUAAACGUCGAUAAUGAUAAUAUAGAAAGAUUGCAAAGAAAAAGAAAGAAAAAUAGAAUAUACAAAUUUUAAAUAGAAACCCUCUCGGAAAAAAACUACGAGUAGAGGAGAAGAAAAUUCACUAAUGUCGAAUUUGAAUGAUACAAGAAGAGUUUCGACUACAUCUAUUUAUCGGUUGAAAAAACUUAAUUCUAAUCAAUGCCAAAUAUAUUAUGUUAAUAAAUGCUAAAUAUAUUAUACUAAUAAAUACUAAAUCUUCUAGAAAGAAAAUAUAUUUUGUUUAACUUGACUUGCAAGCAAUCUCUUAGAAUUUGGGUCACACAACUCUAACAAUCUUCACAUUGACACAAAUUCUCAACAAAGAAGUUUUUCACCACGAAUUCUCAACGAACAAGUUCUCCACCUCUUCCACGAAACCCCUUAAGGGUAUUCUUCAAUAAUGGACGCCAACCAAGUCCAAGCAAUGCUCGAACUUGAUUAUAGGAAGUGACUUAGUCAUCAUAUCUGCAGGAUUAUCAUGCGUAUUAAUUUUGUUCGCAACAAUAUCACCAUGAGUAAUAAUAUCACAUAGAAAAUGAUACAGAACGUCAAUGUGUUUUAUUUUCUCAUGAAGCGUUUGUUCCUUUGUAAGGAAGAUGGCACUCUGACUAUCACAAAAUAUUGUACUGAUCUGAAGGUCUUCACUGAGUUCACUCCUUUUAACCAAAUAACUUCUUUACAAACCUCGGUAAUUGUCAUGUACUCAGCUUCAGUAGUAGACAAAGCAACUGUAGUUUGCAAAGUGGCUUUUCAACUGAUUGCCAACCUCUAAUAGUAAAGACAUACUCGGUGAGAGAUUUUCUUUUGUUAAGGUCUCCAGCAAAAUCAAAAUCAACAUACCCAAUAACUCCAUCUCUAGUUAUUCCAAACUGUAAGCAAACAUCAGUAGUACCUCGUAAGCAUCUUAAAAUCCAUUGAACUGCUUUCCAGUGUUCUUUACCGGGAUUCGCCAUGUAUCUACUAACUACACUAACUAUAAAUGAUAAACCUAGAGGUAAACAAACCAUAACAUACAUUAGAGAUCCCACUACACUAGAUUAUGGAACACGUGUCAUGUAGUCAAUCUCGUCAUUUGAUUGUGAAGAAAAAAACGAUGAAAGUCUAAAGUGGGAUGCUAAUGGAGUACUAACAUACUUGGCAUUUUGCAUAUUGAACCUACAAAUAACUUUCUCAAUAUACAAUUUCUAAAUUAGGUACAAUUUACAUGUUUUUCUAUAUCUGAGAAUCUCCAUCUCAAGUAUCUUCUAGGUCUGUUCUUGACAAUAGAAUAUUGUGGUAAAGAAGCAACUCUAUUCUUAGAUUUUUGUACUAACAUGAGGAGUAGAUUCUGUGGUAAAUUCUGGAUCAAUCUAUAGCUCCACUUACUUCACAUGUGUUCUUGGAAUUUGCUGGUAUCUAUUAGAAGAGUCUUUAAGAGAUAAGUUAGGCAGUAUAACAGUUUCAUAAAAAAAAUAAAUCUCUGCUAAUCACAACUUUUCUAUUUUUAGGACAAUACCUUAUAUCAUUUAACACCACCCAUAUAACUAAGAAAACGCAUUUAAUUGAUUUAGGUUCCAAUUUCCCAUUCUCAACAUGAGCAUACAUAGGUCACCCAAAAAUAUUCAAAUCAGAAAAAUCAGUAGGAUUACUAAACCAUACCUCUUGUGGAGUCUUUUUCUCAAUGGAAAUGGACGGAGACUUGUUAAUAAAAAAAUGCAAUAGAGGCCGCUUCAGCCCAAAACGACUUUGGUAAAAAAGCAUUCGACAAUAUACAUCGAAGAUUUCCAUGAUUGUUCUAUUCAUCCGUUCUGCAAAGCCAUUUUUCUGUGGAGUAUGACGAACUGUCAAGUUUCUCACGAUCCCUUCUGAUUUGCAUAAUUUAUUAAACUUAUUAGAACAUGAUUCCAAGCCAUUAUCUAUGUGGAAGUGUUUCAUCUGUUUUCCUGUCUAUUCUCAAUCAUAGUUUUCCAAGCCUUAAAUGUGGAACACACAUCAAUUUUUUGGUUCAGGAAGAAUGCCCAGACCUUUCUGAAAAAAUCAUUAAUAAUUGUUAGCAUAUAACUAGUGCCACCCUUUGAAAGCACUCUAGAUGGUCCCCAAAGAUCAGAAUGAAUAUAAUCCAGCAUUCCCUUUGUGUUAUGGAUUCCUCUGGUGAAUUUAACUCUCAUUUGCUUCCCAAAAACGCAGUGCUUAUAGAACUUCAGUUUGCUAAUUUCUUUUCCAUCAAGAAGUCCUCUUCUGUUCAAUUCUAUCAUGUUGUUCUCACUCAUAUGCCCUAAACGCAUAUGCCAAAGUCUAGUAACAUUAUUAUCUGACAAGAAAGAGGAAGCGAUGACUACAUCACCAGUAACAGUUGAACCUUGCAAAACAUAUAACCUGUCAGUCUUUCUUUGCCCUUCUAUCACAACGAGGGAACUCUUGUUAAUCUUUAGAACCCCACUUUUAGCUGUGUACUUGUGCCUCUUUGAAUCAAUAAUACUCAACGAGAUCAAAUUCCUCUUCAAUUUUGGUACAUGUCAUACACCACUAAGUGUUCUGGAAACUCCAUCAAACAUCUUGAUUUUGAUUGUGCUAAUACCUGCGAUUUUACAUGAAGAAUUAUUUCCCGUUAAAACAACACCUUCAGACAUUGUUUUAUAUGUUGUAAACCAAUCUUGAUUAGGACUCAUAGGGAAAGUGCAAUAUGAAUCAAUGAUCCCCUCCUCACUCACUUUAGGGUUGUUGGUAGAAGAACCUAGGAGUUCACCAUCGCUGUAGUCUUCUACAACAUCAGCUUUACCAGAUUGUUCUAAUUAUUUUCCCUUUUGAUUCACCACCUUUCUUUUGAUCUUAUUCCGCAACUUAUAGUACUCAGACUUAAUGUGCCUGUUUUUUUUUGCAGAAGUUACAGGUUUUACCUCUGUUUGAAGAUCUUGAUCUACCCUUAGGUUUACUACAAGGUUUGGUUCUUGUGUCCUCCCACGAUUAUCAUCAGUAUUUCGUUCUUAUCUCUCACAAACAAUGAGAUCCUCUCCCUGGGAGUCAGAUCUAGACACAAGAUGCUUUAUCUUGUCAUAAGAUGUUAAGGAAGCAUAGGCUUCAUCAACUAUGAGAAAUUUGUGGCUAUACAAAAUCGUAUAUCUAAAGGUUGAAUAGUACGGGGGCACCAAACAAAGUAGAAUCAUCCUUAAAUCUUAUUUACCAUACUGAACUCCUUAGCCACUAGGUCUGAGAGAUUUUCUUUAAAUACAGUUCAGUGUUCGUGUACAGACACACAUUCCUCCAAACGAUGAGCAUAAAAGCGUUACUUCAUAUGCAACUUGCUAGUUAGGGUUUUCGACAUGUAUAACGGAUGCAACUUUUCCCAUAAUGCAACGGUAAUCUUCUCCUUCAUCACGUCCUGUAGAAUUUCAUUCGACAGAUGUAGAUGUAAUUAAGUUAAAGCCUUUCGAUCUUUAUGCUUCUUCUCUUCCUCCGUCAAUGUUGAAGGCAUCUUAUCUAUCCUUAGCAGGGCAUCCUCCAAAUCCAUUUAUGCAAGAAUCGUCUGCAUCUUUAUCUAUCACAACGAGAAUCUGGUGUUGCAAUCUAACAACGAAAUAUCAUAUUUCAUUGUUGCUAUUACUAUGAUCGAAACAAGCAACCCGAAAAUACUCUGAUACCAAUUUUUUUAAAUCUAAACAUCGAUAAUGUAGAAAGAUCGCAAAGAAAAAGAAAGAAAAAUAUAACACAUAGAUUUUACGUGGAAACCCUUUCGGGAAAAAAUCACGGUCAGAGGAGAAGUAAAUUUACUAAUGUCGAAUUUGAAUGAUAUAAGAGGAAUUUCGACUACAUCUAUUUAUAAGUUGAAAAAACCUAAUUCUAAUUAAUGUCAAGUAUAUUAUGCUAAUAAAUGUUAAAUAUAUUAAACUAAUAAAAUAUAAAAUCUUUUAGAAAGAAAAUAUGUUUUGUUUAACUUGACUUGCAAGUAAUCUCUUAGAAUUUGGGUUACACAACUCUAAAUUCCUGAGCGUUGGCCCAGUAAAGCUUAAAAGGAGACCUACACUUCCAUGCUUUCUUUUGUUUAAUAUUUUGUCUGUAGAUUAGGAAAAUAAUAAUAAAAAAUGAUUUUUUUUUUUAAAAUUUUGAAGUCUCAAACUUAAGUUUUAAGAAUGAGUUUUGUGCUUAUAUUGGAGCUGUUCUGUAUUUUAGUAUGUUGAUUUGAUAAUUUUUCAUUUAGUUAUUCCAUUAGUGACAAAUUUAUCAAUCUAUACCUAUAAUUAACAUAUGUUUUUCAUCAUAUUACUAAAUUUAUAUUUAAAAAUAAUUAUAUUAUUUAAAUUAGAAUUAUUAGUUAAAAAAGUCAAUAGAAAUUGCAAUAAUUACAUAUUAAAAAAUAUUUAGAAAUUAAACUACAAUUAUUAGUUAAAAAAGAUUUUACUAAUUUUAAAAUAAAGUUGUCAAUUGAAUCUUAACUAGAUUGACAUGGGCAUUGUUGCCAAUACAUGAGGACGUGGGUUUAAGUGCGCUGAAGCACAUUAUCCUUCUAUUUAUGGGUUGAAGGAGGGGCUAUGGAUGAUUCUAAGUAUUGUGUCAAAAAAGAGUAGAUAUGAUAAUUUAAAAUAAAAUUAUCACUUGAAUAGAACUUUAAAUAUAAAAUUUAAUAAAAAUUGUGAUAAUUGUAAUUAUAAAAUUCAAUUAUUAGUUAAAAGUUUUUGAUAUUAUGCUAAUUUUAUUACUAUAAAAUAGAGUUAUUAUUUGAAUAGAAUUAUAAGCAUAUUAAUUAUCACUUAUUUAAUAUUAGAGUUAAUUAUAUUAAUUAGUUAUUAUUUUGAAAAAUGUUACUUUGCAUUAAUUACAAGAAAAAUAUAUUAUAUGUUGAAUAUGUUAAAAAUGUUUUAAUUAUUGUUUGCAAUUUUAUAUUGUAAUAUUUGAACGGAUAAGUUAACAUAUUUUAGUUAUAUUCAAUAAUUCAAAUGAGAAAUAUUAUUUUACGCUAACUGUUGCAAUUAAAAAUUGGGUAAACUACACAAAUAAUCGCUCAACUAUAAAUUUUUUUCAUUUUAGGCAUCGAAAGUAAAAGUUUAAAAUUUAAGCACUCACGUUACAUAGUGUAGUCAUUUUGGUCACUUCUGUUAAAAUAAAAAACGACAAGCUGACGUGGUAGUUACAAAAAUCAAUAUAAUAACAAAUUUAUUCCUAAACUUUUACAUAUUAUACCGAUUUAGUCAUAAUUUUAAAAAAUCAACUCUCAAAAUUUACAAAUGUUCUUCAUUUAAUCCUCAUUUUAAAAAAAUCAAAGAAUUAUAUUAAAAUACAUAAAUAUUUUAAAAAUAUAUAAUAAUAAAAUUUUAAUUUUAUAUUAAUAUCAAUAUUAAAUAAAAAUAAAAAACCCUCCCUUCCCCUCCCCUACCAUCGUCCCUUUUUUGCAUACACGAGAGCCUUGUAGGUAGGGGUUUUCAUUCAAUCUGUUCAGUUGGUUCAGUUUUUUAUAUAAAAAAAUCAAAUAAAUUGAAUUAAUCACCUAAACCAAAUAAACCAAACCAACCAAAGAAACAAAAUCGAAUAAAAUGAACUUUGGUUCAGUUCGAUUUAGUUUUCAGUUUUUGAUUUUUUUUAGUUGGGAAAAAAAUUAUCUUCUUUAGUUUUUUUUUCACAUAAUUAUGUUCUUUAUUCAAUUUACUAUAUUAUAUCAUAUCAUUUUAAUUUUAAUUUUAUUUUAUAUUCAUUUAAAAUAUAUAUUAAAAAUUAAAUAAAUUGAUUUUUAAUGAACUUAAAAAUAUUAUUUUCUAAUAUGGCAAAGGUAUCGUUACUUUGAUAUAUGCUAUUGGUACCAUUUGCUUAUAUUAAUUGGUAGGAUAUUAGGUUUAAAGGGUUUGAGGUUGAAGAGUAUUAAGUUUAAAUUUGAGCUUGAAUAUGUAAAAUGAGUUAUGAGUUUAUGCCUUAUGGGUUGUAGCAAUUGACUUUGAUUUUUUGGUUCUGAAAUUUUUUGCAUACCUAUAGGCAGCCAUUGCUUCCACCUUUGCAGAUUCUUAUCAUUGCUUUGCAAUCUCCAUCUUGUCCCUUCUUUCAACCCCAAAUAAUACGGCACAGAUCCUGAUUCCUCAAAUGAAAUCAACCCAUCUUUGUCUAUGUCAAACACAUCGAAAGCCUAUUUCAGUUCCUCUUUUCUAUUCAUUCCAUCAUCUUUGAAUUUGGUACCACUUGCAUCACCACCAUCUAUGGCCUGACAUAAGAUGCAAAACUCAUCGUAACUGUUUAUGUAUGAGAUAAGUUAGGUAGUUAGUAGUCAGUUACCAUCUGGUAUAUUGUUAGUUCAGGUGGUUUGCAUCAGUUAUCACUUACUCAUGUAUAUAAGUACCAAUCUUGUACAGAUUGAGUCAAGACAAUAAUAAUAAGUAUAUUCAAUCAAUUCUAUUCUUGUAUUUCUUUCAUUCUUUAGUAUCUUCUAACAUGGUAUCAGUCGCCCAAAGAUUCUGAAGGAAUAUUCAUGGCAAACUCUGCUGACUCUACCGCUGUUGAUCAUGGCAAUCCUAUACUUUUUGGUAUCCGGUUAGUUCAGACCUUUCCUAGGCAUGAUACGGUGAAGUUGGAAGAAGGGAAUUUUGUCCAAUGGCAGUAACAUAUAUGAAUAAUCAUUGAAGGAUAUGAAUUAAUCAGUUACCUGGAAGGUACGUUACCUAUUUCGCCUCGGUUUAUCUCCUUUCCCGACGCCGUCCUCACUCUAAAUCCUGAUGCAUCGAUCUUUGUUUAGCAAGAUAAGCUUCUUGCUUCCUGUCUUCUUUCUACUAUUAGUUCCUCUUUUUUGUCUUGUUUUACAGUGGCCAAAUCUGCCUGUGAUGUUUGGAGCACAGCCAAUCACCUUUUUGCGACAGCCACUAGAGCAAAAAUAUCUCAGAUCAGACAUGAACUCCAUUCAAUCAAAAAAGAAGCAAUGACAGUUAAAGAAUACCUAGCGAAAAUACAAAAUACCUGUGCGUUACUUGAGGCAUUUGGUUCUGCCAUUCCAGAAGCAGAAAGAGUUGAAAUCAUACUUGCUGGAAUUUCAUCAGAAUUUGAUGUGAUUUUAACGCUUGCGUCCUUCUUGACAAAGGCUCUUCCUCUUCAAAAACUCGUUGAUGCUCUUUUAGAGUUUGUGAGUAGGCAAUCUCGUACAGUGUCGGAAACAUUUUUUCAUGCAAAUCUUGUUAAUUCCACUUCGACGCCGUUGGUGGCUGACUCAGUGAGUGGCGGCGUUUGUUUUCUUCCUAGCGCAUGGGCAUAGGUCUUGCACUCAUCUUCAUUGCCAAAUCUUACAGCACAGAGGUGUUAUUACCAGUUCGAUGGUGAAUAUGACGGUCCCUCUUCUUCGACUCUGGCGUUUUCUGGUCGUGCGGGUCAAGGUUCGCGUGAGGGAGGCCUUGGUGAUGGUUGGUACUUGCCAGUUCAUGGUGGUUCGUCUGGCUUCACUGGCUCUAGACAACCUCUUGGAAACAUAAUGGCGGUUCCGAUGGAAUUUCCCUUUGGUAUUGUGUGGAGAGGCCACCUCUCUACUAUUUCGAAUAUGUUUGCUACUAGGGUUCCAAAACCCCUUUUUCAAUUUUCAAAUGAGGCCAAUCAAGGUCAAAUGGAUGGGGUUGUUUAUGAUGACCUGGGCCCACGUCAUGAGUGUGUUGUUCUUCACUUGGGUACCCAUGUGCCGC
RNAcentral lists this long non-coding RNA (8318 nucleotides) under Gossypium barbadense (sea-island cotton). Its description in RNAcentral is "long non-coding RNA (GBAR_LNC012542)". Lineage: Eukaryota; Viridiplantae; Streptophyta; Magnoliopsida; Malvales; Malvaceae. The record is from RNAcentral.